CCUACGGGGGUCAGCAGUGAGGAAUAUUGGUCAAUGGUCGGGAGACUGAACCAGCCAAGCCGCGUGAGGGAUGAAGGUACAGAGUAUCGUAAACCUCUUUUGUCAGGGAACAAAGGCGGGGACGCGUCCCCGGAUGAGUGUACCUGAAGAAAAAGCAUCGGCUAACUCCGUGCCAGCAGCCGCGGUAAUACGGAGGAUGCGAGCGUUAGCCGGAUUUAUUGGGUUUAAGGGGUGCGCAGGCGGUUGGUUAAGUCAGCGGUAAAAGCCCGGGGCUCAACCCCGGACCGCCGUUGAAACUGGCAGUCUCGAGUUGGAGAGAAGUAUGCGGAAUGCGCGGUGUAGCGGUGAAAUGCAUAGAUAUCGCGCAGAACUCCGAUUGCGAAGGCAGCAUGCCGGCUCCACACUGACGCUGAGGCACGAAAGCGUGGGUAUCGAACAGGAUUAGAUACCCGGGUAGUC
Molecule: ribosomal RNA, 459 nt
Filed under: uncultured bacterium
Lineage: Bacteria
Description: partial 16S ribosomal RNA
Rfam family: Bacterial small subunit ribosomal RNA
Source: RNAcentral